This 268-nucleotide ribosomal RNA is filed under the name Salmonella enterica subsp. enterica serovar Heidelberg. RNAcentral's name for it is "partial 16S ribosomal RNA". It matches the Rfam family "Bacterial small subunit ribosomal RNA", at positions 1 to 263 of the family's 1533-position model. The record is from RNAcentral. Lineage: Bacteria; Pseudomonadati; Pseudomonadota; Gammaproteobacteria; Enterobacterales; Enterobacteriaceae.
UUAAAUUGAAGAGUUUGAUCAUGGCUCAGAUUGAACGCUGGCGGCAGGCCUAACACAUGCAAGUCGAACGGUAACAGGAAGCAGCUUGCUGCUUUGCUGACGAGUGGCGGACGGGUGAGUAAUGUCUGGGAAACUGCCUGAUGGAGGGGGAUAACUACUGGAAACGGUGGCUAAUACCGCAUAACGUCGCAAGACCAAAGAGGGGGACCUUCGGGCCUCUUGCCAUCAGAUGUGCCCAGAUGGGAUUAGCUUGUUGGUGAGGUAACGG